ACACAUCAGUUAGUAAAAAAUUAACGACACUAAUCUUGUUCUCCCCCAGUAAGGCAGCUGUGUGUGCGCCUGGCUGUAUCUUCAAUCAAUGGCUCUUCGGAGCUCUCGAAUUUCACUCUCUGUGAGAAGAAUUGGCUAUUCCGGCACCGCAUUUCGAGCCACUGGUCUCACCUUUAAGUUCUUCUCCCUUUCUCUCACUGUCGCUGUUUUCUUUUUCUUAUCUUUCUCCUCUUUUCUCUUUAUCUCCUCCGACGAUACCUCCGAUCACCGCCUCGUAAGUCCUACCCCUCGCAUUUCUCCUUCUAUGACUCUUUUCUUCAGGAAAUAGAUGCUUGCGUUGAAUUUAUUUAUUCUCCCGAGAUCUCAAAUUUUGCAAACUUUAAUUGUCUAUUAUCAUCUCGUAAAUGACGUGCUUUGAUUAGUGAUUGUAGUUGCUCUUCAUUUUCUAUGCUGUAAUUUGACUUUUUGCAUGCAUUUAUUUGUGCAUUUAUCUAUGGCUGAAAUUAUGCAUUUAUUGGUGCAUUUGUAUGUAUUAAUUGCUUGAUUUUUGUUUAAAUAGGGUUUCUCGAAUGAUUUGUAUGGAUUUGGAUCGUACUGUAGGUCGAUUCUAGGUUUGAAAUCGGAUCCUUUGAAGCCAAGGCUUGAUCAGAUCAGGGAGCAAGCAGAUGACCACCACGUUUGGCUCUGGCUUAUGCUUCCCAUGCUAGAAAGGUG
This 714-nucleotide long non-coding RNA is filed under the name Nicotiana tabacum (common tobacco). Its description in RNAcentral is "long non-coding RNA (NTAB_LNC013911)". The record is from RNAcentral. Lineage: Eukaryota; Viridiplantae; Streptophyta; Magnoliopsida; Solanales; Solanaceae.